This 158-nucleotide ribosomal RNA is filed under the name uncultured Bacillus sp. Its description in RNAcentral is "partial 16S ribosomal RNA". It matches the Rfam family "Bacterial small subunit ribosomal RNA", at positions 353 to 502 of the family's 1533-position model. Lineage: Bacteria; Bacillati; Bacillota; Bacilli; Caryophanales; Bacillaceae. The record is from RNAcentral.
AGUAGGGAAUCUUCCGCAAUGGACGAAAGUCUGACGGAGCAACGCCGCGUGAGUGAAGAAGGCCUUCGGGUCGUAAAACUCUGUUGCCGGGGAAGAACAAGUGCCGUUCGAACAGGGCGGCGCCUUGACGGUACCCGGCCAGAAAGCCACGGCUAACU